UAGGUUCUAACAUGAAUUAGAUUAAUAGGGAAAGAGGUGAAAUUCCUCUACAGCCCCCGCUACUGUAAGGUGGACGAAACUUUUAAAAACCACUGUGGUAUUAGUUACUAUGGGAAGGAGAAGGAGUAGAAUGAAGCUAAGUCAGGAGACCUGCCUAUGAUAUUUU
This 166-nucleotide non-coding RNA is filed under the name human gut metagenome. The record is from RNAcentral.